GAUGAACGCUGGCGGCGUGCCUAAUACAUGCAAGUCGAGCGAACAGACGAGGAGCUUGCUCCUCUGACGUUAGCGGCGGACGGGUGAGUAACACGUGGAUAACCUACCUAUAAGACUGGGAUAACUUCGGGAAACCGGAGCUAAUACCGGAUAAUAUAUUGAACCGCAUGGUUCAAUAGUGAAAGACGGUUUUGCUGUCACUUAUAGAUGGAUCCGCGCCGCAUUAGCUAGUUGGUAAGGUAACGGCUUACCAAGGCGACGAGUCGUAGCCGACCUGAGAGGGUGAUCGGCCACACUGGAACUGAGACACGGUCCAGACUCCUACGGGAGGCAGCAGUAGGGAAUCUUCCGCAAUGGGCGAAAGCCUGACGGAGCAACGCCGCGUGAGUGAUGAAGGUCUUCGGAUCGUAAAACUCUGUUAUUAGGGAAGAACAGAUGUGUAAGUAACUAUGCACGUCUUGACGGUACCUAAUCAGAAAGCCACGGCUAACUACGUG
RNAcentral lists this ribosomal RNA (497 nucleotides) under uncultured bacterium. RNAcentral describes it as "partial 16S ribosomal RNA". It matches the Rfam family "Bacterial small subunit ribosomal RNA", at positions 28 to 507 of the family's 1533-position model. The record is from RNAcentral.